CCUACGGGGGGCUGCAGUGGGGAAUAUUGGACAAUGGGGGGAACCCUGAUCCAGCCAUGCCGCGUGUGUGAAGAAGGCCCUCGGGUUGUAAAGCACUUUCAGUGAGGAAGAACGCCUGGUGGUUAAUACCCAUCAGGAAAGACAUCACUCACAGAAGAAGCACCGGCUAACUCCGUGCCAGCAGCCGCGGUAAUACGGAGGUUGCGAGCGUUAAUCGGAAUUACUGGGCGUAAAGCGCGCGUAGGUGGCUUGAUAAGCCGGUUGUGAAAGCCCCGGGCUCAACCUGGGAACGGCAUCCGGAACUGUCAAGCUAGAGUGCAGGAGAGGAAGGUAGAAUUCCCGGUGUAGCGGUGAAAUGCGUAGAGAUCGGGAGGAAUACCAGUGGCGAAGGCGGCCUUCUGGACUGACACUGACACUGAGGUGCGAAAGCGUGGGUAGCAAACAGGAUUAGAUACCCUGGUAGUC
This 465-nucleotide ribosomal RNA is filed under the name Vreelandella stevensii. RNAcentral describes it as "partial 16S ribosomal RNA". It matches the Rfam family "Bacterial small subunit ribosomal RNA", at positions 338 to 795 of the family's 1533-position model. Lineage: Bacteria; Pseudomonadati; Pseudomonadota; Gammaproteobacteria; Oceanospirillales; Halomonadaceae. The record is from RNAcentral.